AGCCUUAUGAACUUGAAUUUGCUUCUGCUCAGUGACAGAAAAGGGAAAUGUCUCCAAGCUAACCUACUACCUGGUGCAUCUUAGAUUUUUUUUACACAUGGAGGUAACCUGAAAAUAUGCCAGUGAAUCAAAUCACCUAUACAUCAAUGCUAGAGAAAUAGCAUUUGGUAAACAAAGACUUUUCUGAAUGAAGAUUGAGGAUCUGACCAUCAAUUAUUAGCCCUUAGGAGAAAAAAAAUGAGGCUUUGUACCAUCUCUUGAUAUCACAUGGGAGCUACACUCUGCACCAUAUAAUCCUGUGUUGCAUGAAGUUAAUGCUAGGACUACCACCACAACAGUCUGAUUUCAGAGAAGGACUGAGGUAUACAUGAUCAACUGCAAACAUCCAUCACAUCACUGAAAAAUACGGAGUACAAUCAUCCACUGAACAUGUGUUUUAUUGAUUGCUUAAAAGUGUUUGAUACCAUCUGACAAGGCUCCCUUUGGAGAAUAGUGGAAAUGGAAAGGUGCUGUAUGACAGAUCAUUGGGAGGUCAGCUGCUGAGUGCAAAGCUAACAGAGAUUUGAGAAGACUUCUGGAAAUUCUGCUUUGAUAUCACCAUAUUCAGACAUGAAUAAAUGGAUUGACUUGCUUAAGUUACAAUAGUCAACAGAGUAAAUUCCUUUAAUAAAUUCUGAUGUAUGCUGUAUGGAUCAGCUAAUACGUACAUUGAAAUGUUUCUUGUAGCAUUUUACCUCUUCUUACCAGUAGCUAUUUUCAUAGACCUUCAUCAGUUCCUCAUUGUUCCAACUAUUUUUCUUAUAAUAAGACUAUUAUUUCACCCAUUUUGUCAUUAAUUUAAUUUCACUCAUUUGUUAAUGGACUUCCUUUCUCUUUAGUACUUAUUUGCCUUCUGCUUUAUCUAUAAAAAGCCCUUUGUAUCCCU
Molecule: long non-coding RNA, 925 nt
Organism: Gavialis gangeticus (Gharial)
Lineage: Eukaryota; Metazoa; Chordata; Crocodylia; Gavialidae
Exons: 3
Source: RefSeq, a predicted model, not a curated record